RNA transcript from Hippocampus comes (tiger tail seahorse), 1254 nucleotides. It is a transcript of the gene named tetraspanin 31, with no coding region annotated. NCBI's taxonomy places the organism in Eukaryota, Metazoa, Chordata, Actinopteri, Syngnathiformes, Syngnathidae. The record is from RefSeq and is a predicted model, not a curated record. The transcript is spliced from 7 exons.
AAGAGGAAAAGGAAGUUUGCCUCCGGUCACGUGUUGACGUGACGCCCGCCGCCGCCGCCGACGUCACGUUCGCCCUCCGCCCUCGUCUGAAGAACAGCCGAAAGCCGAGAGCCGAGAGCCGGCGAGCGCUCCUUCUGUUUGGCCUUCCGACGGUCGCCCGGCCGAGCCGAGAGAGCCGCGAUGGUCUGCGGCGGCUUCACGUGUUCCAAGAACGCCCUGUGCUCCUUGAACGUCGUCUACAUGCUGGUGGGCCUGCUGCUGAUCGGCGUGGCGGCGUGGGGGAAGGGCUUCGGCCUGGUCUCCAGCAUCCACAUCAUCGGCGGCGUGAUCGCCGUGGGCGUCUUCCUCCUGCUCAUCGCCGUCGUGGGCCUGGUGGGAGCCGUGCGCCACCACCAAGUCAUGCUUUUCUUCUACAUGGUCAUUCUUUUCAUCGUCUUCCUCUUCCAAUUUGGAGUGUCCUGCUCCUGCCUGGCGAUGAACCGCAGCCAGCAGGAAGUGCUUUUGAACUCGGCGUGGGGAAUGUUGGAGAACAACACCAAGACGGACCUGGAGAGUCAGCUCAACUGUUGCGGGCUGCUCAACGUCGCCAGCAAGCGAAAGCAGUUUGAGGAGGAUCUGCAGAGCUGUCCCGCCUUAUGCAAGAAUACGAGUUCGUGCUACACCUGCGGGGAUAUGAUGCUGCACCACGCCAGCGAGGCUCUCAAGAUCCUCGGCGGCGUCGGGCUCUUCUUCAGCUUCACCGAAAUUUUGGGAGUUUGGCUGGCGGUGCGCUACAGGAACCAGAAGGACCCGCGAGCGAACCCGAGCGCUUUCCUCUAAGCGCGUCCCUGCGCUCGGGUGGCGCGGCGCGGGACCCGCGCCCUUUCCGGCACACGACGCCGCCGAACGGAUCCGCCCGGCCGACACCAGAACACGCCUCCUUCACCCGAGACCGAGAAGCCACCCGAGCUCGCGCCCGACCGCCCGGGCGCGACUCUUACGGGCGCUGAGGCCCCCUCGCCCGUAUCGCCACCCCAGCCUCGUCGCACCGACGAGCCGCCGCCGCCACCCGACCCGGCAAGUGAGAGACGUCUCGCACAACAGGCCACCGCGUGCGCCUCGAAGUGUUCUGCGUGACGAGACGGGGAGACGACGCGGCGUGCCCAGCAAAGGUAGCUUGGAUGUCAAUGAUGUCGCCGCCGGCUUGGAGGCGGCAACCUGUCAGAUGGCCGCCAUCUUUGCGGAAUCUUCUCAAAGGGCGCCGAACGGUGCCCG